RNAcentral lists this ribosomal RNA (406 nucleotides) under uncultured bacterium. RNAcentral's name for it is "partial 16S ribosomal RNA". It matches the Rfam family "Bacterial small subunit ribosomal RNA", at positions 30 to 526 of the family's 1533-position model. The record is from RNAcentral.
AUUGAACGCUGGCGGCAGGCCUAACACAUGCAAGUCGAACGAGUGGCGGACGGGUGAGUAAUGUCUGGGAAACUGCCCGAUGGAGGGGGAUAACUACUGGAAACGGUAGCUAAUACCGCCUACCAGCGGAUGAGCCCAGAUGGGAUUAGCUAGUAGGUGGGGUAACGGCUCACCUAGGCGACGAGCCCUAGCUGGUCUGAGAGGACGACCAGCCACCCUGUAACAUAGAGACGGUCCAGACUCCUACGCGAGGCAGCAGUGGGGAAUAUUGCACAAUGGGCGCAAGCCUGAUGCAGCCAUGCCGCGUGUAUGAAGAGGGCCUUCGGGUUGUAAAGUACUUUCAGCGAGGAGGCGUUACUCGCAGAAGAAGCACCGACUAACUCCGUGCCAGCAGCCGCGGUAAUUC